Molecule: ribosomal RNA, 421 nt
Filed under: Fusobacteriota bacterium
Lineage: Bacteria; Fusobacteriati; Fusobacteriota
Description: Fusobacteria bacterium partial 16S ribosomal RNA
Rfam family: Bacterial small subunit ribosomal RNA
Source: RNAcentral
UGGGGAAUAUUGCACAAUGGACGGAAGUUUGAUGCAGCGACGCCGCGUGGAGGGUGUAGGCCUUCGGGUUGUGAACUCCUUUUUCUCGCGAAAAAGGCACAGUUUUGGCUGUGUUGAUGGUAGUGGGGGAAGAAGCGCCGGCUAACUACGUUCCAGCAGCCGCGGUAAUACGUAGGGCGCGAGCGGUGUCCGGAUUUAUUGGGAGUAAAGAGCUCGUAGGUGGUUCGUCGCGUCGGUCGUGAAAGCCAGCAGCUUAACUGUUGGUCUGCGGUGGGUACCGGGGGGCUUGAGUGCGGUAGGGGGGGCUGGAAUUCCUGGUGUAGCGGUGGAAUGCGCAGAUAUCAGGAGGAACACCGAUGGCGAAGGCAGGUCACUGGGCCGUUACUGACACUGAGGAGCGAAAGCGUGGGGAGCGAACAGG